AACUUAUGGCACAACUACGGCU
Molecule: non-coding RNA, 22 nt
Filed under: Arabidopsis thaliana (thale cress)
Lineage: Eukaryota; Viridiplantae; Streptophyta; Magnoliopsida; Brassicales; Brassicaceae
Source: RNAcentral